GAUGAACGCUAGCGGCAGGCUUAACACAUGCAAGUCGAGGGGCAGCACGGGUAGCAAUACCUGGUGGCGACCGGCGGAAGGGUGCGUAACGCGUGAGCAACAUGCCCUAUACAGGGGAAUAAUCCAGGGAAACUUGGUCUAAUGCCCCAUAGCAAUAAGAUAAGGCAUCUUAUUUUAUUUAAAGCUUCGGUGGUAUAAGAUUGGCUCGCGUGACAUUAGCUGGAUGGUGGGGUAACGGCCCACCAUGGCGAUGAUGUCUAGGGGUUCUGAGAGGAAGACCCCCCACACUGGGACUGAGACACGGCCCAGACUCCUACGGGAGGCAGCAGUGAGGAAUAUUGGACAAUGGAUGAAAAUCUGAUCCAGCCAUGCCGCGUGCAGGAAGACGGCCCUAUGGGUUGUAAACUGCUUUUCUACGGGAGCAAUAAGGUCUACGAGUAGACUGAUGAGAGUACCGUAGGAAUAAGCAUCGGCUAACUCCGUGCCAGCAGCCGCGGUAAUACGGAGGAUGCGAGCGUUAUCCGGAUUUAUUGGGUUUAAAGGGUGCGUAGGCGGCUUUUUAAGUCAGCGGUGAAAUUUUGCAGCUUAACUGUAACAGUGCCGUUGAUACUGGGGAGCUAGGGUUUGGUUGCUGUGGGUGGAAUGUGUGGUGUAGCGGUGAAAUGCUUAGAGAUCACACAGAAUAUCGAUUGCGAAGGCAGCUCACAAAGCCAAGAUUGACGCUGAGGCACGAAAGUGCGGGGAUCAAACAGGAUUAGAUACCCUGGUAGUCCACACUGUAAACGAUGAUAACUCGCUGUCGGCGAUACACAGUCGGUGGCCAAGCGAAAGCGAUAAGUUAUCCACCUGGGGAGUACGACCGCAAGGUUGAACUCAAAGGAAUUGACGGGGGCCCGCACA
RNAcentral lists this ribosomal RNA (900 nucleotides) under uncultured bacterium. Its description in RNAcentral is "bacterial SSU rRNA". It matches the Rfam family "Bacterial small subunit ribosomal RNA", at positions 28 to 927 of the family's 1533-position model. The record is from RNAcentral.